ACCAGGUGUGGUGAUGCACACCUAUAAUCCCAGCAGCUUGGGAGGCUGAGACAGGAGGAUUGUGAGUUCAAAGCCAGCCUCAACAAAAGCGAGGCACUAAUCAACUCAGUGACAUCCUGUCUCUA
RNAcentral lists this small RNA (125 nucleotides) under Marmota monax (woodchuck). Lineage: Eukaryota; Metazoa; Chordata; Mammalia; Rodentia; Sciuridae. The record is from RNAcentral.